Long non-coding RNA from Brassica napus (rape), 1835 nucleotides. RefSeq lists it as uncharacterized. The record is from RefSeq and is a predicted model, not a curated record. The transcript has 6 exons. Lineage: Eukaryota; Viridiplantae; Streptophyta; Magnoliopsida; Brassicales; Brassicaceae.
UUAUUUCGAUUAUCAUUUCAUUCGCUGAGUUUUCCGAUAGUACCAAAGCUGAGAAGUGGGGUCCGUACAAUAAUUAGAGAAGUGUUACAAGCAAUAAAAAAGCAACCCCAAAAGGCUUCCAGCAUGUAUACGGAUUCCUUAAUUCCCAUUAUAUUAACCGGUUCAUAUGUGUUUUACCAUAACAUACUUUGUAUACUUCACUGCAACAACACCAUCCCUCUCACAAGAUUACUAGAAACCCUUUUCGAAGAACCGACCACUCACUCAAAGCUCCAAAACCACUCAGCAUGAAAGGAUCACCGCGAGGUAUGCACACCUCACUGGUCCAUCCGUCCAACCAUAGGAAUCAAAGCUUUACACCACUACGAAAAAGACAUGUGGAGAGCUAAUCUCUCAAGACCACAAGAAUGUCUCUUCUUCGAGGCAUUUUCACGCAUUGUUAUAAUUCUCAACCUGCUCGGAUACUUCAUCCCAAAGAGGUUAGCCCUGUUCGUUGUUAGAUCGCGGCGGUAGCGUCUAGCGACAGAUUUUACAAAGCAAAAAAGAAAAACUUAAACGGAAAGAAAGAAGAAAAAUGGAAGAAAUCCUUGUUUUCAUGUCGCAGCCAAGAGAGAGAAAGGAGGAACACUGACGCUAUUUAAUUUGGCGACACAAAUACCACCGGAUUCCGUCAGAAUAAUUGACGCUGCGUUCUCUGUUUUAACACUGGCGGCAAGUUAAGCAAAAAAUGAUGAACAAUUUCCAGCCGCUCAUGUCAAUUGCUGCGAUCAACUAACGAACAGGGCUGUUGAGAUUCCCUUCAAACCAUCAAUGCCUGCUUCUUCAGAAGUGUAAAAAGCUUGCAUGAGAGAGAUACCACGGAUCAAAAACAGUCUUGAUGCUAAACAGAUUAAUCCACUGGUUAGUGAAAUUGAAGCUAUUUACUGACCUUCUUUUAUAUUACUUACUAAAUUGGGGAUCUGUUUUGUUCCAUGUAUGUAAACAAACUGAUCUCGCUGCAAUGGGGCAUCUUCAAUAUUUGUGGAUUGCACAAUGGAACAAAGCAAGAAGAUACUAUAACGGUCAUGAAAUGCAGGGAACAGAGGACAAUCUUUUGGAACAGGUGGAAUUCAAAGGGUAGAUAAAGCCUAGCUUUACAUCUCUGGCGGUUUGAGCCGUAAACCUCCUUAUGGCUAGCUCAGUUUCUUAAGUUUAUUACUUUCUAUGUCCUUUACAUUCGAACUGCGUAUUGCAAGUUUUUGCUUCUUCGGAUUUUCAAAACACUCCACCUUUUGAGGGCAACCCUACCGACCAUGUGGGGUUAAAAAGGCCUACUUAAAUCCUUAGUUAGGAAUAAAGAUGCCCGGUUUGGAUUCAUUUUUAUUACUGGAAGAAUCUUUCCAAAAGGUGUGAAGAACCUAUUCAUAUCGAUCCCUGCUGAUAAAGUCCUUCUACUCAGUAGAGCUUCUGGAGGCUUGUAAGACAGUGAGAAUCUGAUGCCUUUCUGCCAUUAAGCACAUGCUGAAAAAGGAAUGGAUCGUAGCAAAAAAAAAAAGGAAUGGAACAAUAGUUUUUUUUUGGCUAAGAAACCCGAAGAGAAGAUACUUGAACCGACUGAGAUGGUGAAAAAUAAAGUUGCAGUGGAAGAUUGGUCAAAGCAAAAACAAAAGUUCUGUUUGGUAAUUGAAGAAUAAUAAAGAUAGAUCUCUACCGAAUAAAAAUCAAUGAAAAGAAUAUAAAUGGUUAUGUAUAUACUUGUAUUUAUAGAGAAAAUAGAAUAAUAAUAAAGGAGAGAGUAAAAGUUAGUCGUGUGAUUUUGAUGAGUAAAGAAGAAAGUGAUCUUCAUUAUUGUUGUA